RNAcentral lists this ribosomal RNA (252 nucleotides) under uncultured bacterium. RNAcentral describes it as "partial 16S ribosomal RNA". It matches the Rfam family "Bacterial small subunit ribosomal RNA", at positions 524 to 775 of the family's 1533-position model. The record is from RNAcentral.
UACGAAGGGGGCUAGCGUUGUUCGGAAUUACUGGGCGUAAAGCGCGUGUAGGCGGUUAUCCAAGUCGGGUGUGAAAGCCUUGAGCUUAACUCAAGAAAUGCACUCGGUACUGGGUGACUAGAGGACCGGAGAGGAUAGUGGAAUUCCCAGUGUAGUGGUGAAAUACGUAGAGAUUGGGAAGAACACCAGUGGCGAAGGCGGCUAUCUGGACGGUUUCUGACGCUAAGACGCGAAAGCGUGGGGAGCAAACAG